GAGCGAGUGGCGAACGGGUGAGUAGCACGUGAGCAACCUGCCCCGAAGACUGGGACAACACCGGGAAACCGGUGCUAAUACCGGAUAUCCCUGUCGGACCGCAUGAUCCGACAAGGAAAUGUUUUUUCGCUCCAGGAGGAGCCCGCGGCUGAUUAGCUAGUUGGUGAGGUAAUGGCUCACCAAGGCUACGAUCAGUAUCCGGUCUGAGAGGACGGUCGGACACACUGGAACUGAGACACGGUCCAGACUCCUACGGGAGGCAGCAGUGGGGAAUUUUUGGCAAUGGGGGAAACCCUGACCAAGCAACGCCGCGUGGGUGAUGAAGUCUCUUGGGACGUAAAACCCUUUCGACGGGGAAGAAACCGCAAGGUUGACGGUACCCGUAGAAGAAGCCCCGGCUAACUCCGUG
Molecule: ribosomal RNA, 409 nt
Filed under: uncultured bacterium
Lineage: Bacteria
Description: bacterial SSU rRNA
Rfam family: Bacterial small subunit ribosomal RNA
Source: RNAcentral